AAUGUCACGCAAGAACAAAAGACCGGAAAUAUCUGCGUGAUAAAAGGUGGUUGAAGAAGCAUCCCAGGAGCUUUGGUUACCAUGAAAGUCUCAGAAACAACUCGAAAGUUAGAAAACUGUUGGAUAUUACUGUGUACUGUUUUUUGUGUGUGUGUGUGUGUGCUUAUAUGUUAAACAUACGGCAGUAGAUAGAUCUCAUUGAGAUGAGCUUUUUCCCCCCGUAGUUGAAACAGCAAAUCUGUUCAUAUCAAAUUGUUCCGGGGAAAACUUGAGCUGUACCUUUAAGGGGUUCUGCUUUUCCUAUUUGUGUUGGCAUUUGAAAGAUUGUGGAGGCAGAAAACUUUCUGGAAUGUCAAAAAAAAAAAUUGUUGGAACUCUUAAAUUGAGUAUUUCCAAUUGUGGGCGCUAAGGGGCGCCAGUUAUUUUUUUUAAGCAUAAGAGAUGUUUGGAGCAAAAUGUGUAACAUUCUCAGUUACCUGACCUAUAUUAAAUUUAGUUGAAACUUAAAUCAUAGGUUAUUUUGUCAUUCUGUGUCCGUAUAUAUAUUUGAAAACACUUCGGAACACUUUUAUCACAUUUCAUGUGAUUUCAUGAAUUCCACAUGCGCUGUGGAAGUAAUAACGCUAUUUUUUCUUGGCACAUUUUGAUGCAUUUAAAGUUUUAGUAGUAUUCGUAAAAACUUUUGUUAAGCUUUUUCUUUAAGCCUAGUUGUAUAGAAGAAAUCCUUUAUAGUCAUUAAAGUGAAAAUAGGCUUUGAUUAUAUUAGGGUUAAAGUUAAGUUGAAGUCUGAAUUAAAAUGUUGGAUUCAGUAAGACAGCAUAGGAGAUUAUAAAAAGUUUGCAAAUGUUUUCUCCUCAUUUGUACUAUUUGAAGUAAAUAAUUUGAGUUUCUCUGACUAGUUUUGAAAGAUUUGUAGUGUUAUGUUGGUCUGAAAUCUCUAAAUGGUAAUUGAAGUUGGUUCUAAUCUUUGGCAUGAUAAUUUUUAAUCUUCUAAAUCUAGAAUUCCAGUUAUGUCCAUUAUUUCUAACAAAGGUUGGUUUGUUCGUUUCUCUCUGUUUGGAAAUAGUAAUCGUUUGAGUUUUAAAUGUUGUAAACCACUGGUUGAGGAGGAAACAGUCUAAGUAAUAUGUAUUUUUUAUUUUUAUUAUGGUUUACUUCAUCUCUGUCUCAGUCUCUGUUGAGUUUUAGCCUUUUCAACUCCCCAGCAUAAAGAAUGCUCCUGUAUAGUAGCUAGGAUGUUUAAAAAGGGACAGCAUAAUGACUAGGAAGUUUGAUUGUUUUUUAUCAGACCAGUACAAACAGGGAGGGAAGGGGGUUAUUCCUUAGUGUGGAAUAAGCUGCUUCCUGUAAUUGUUAGCCUUAUUAUAAACUUAAUUUGACUUAAAAAUACUGGUUUCUGAAGUUCAUCACGUUUUUAUCUGUGCUGGAUUGGAUUUUCAAUUUGGCAAGUUGUCCUUUACUCCUUUGUGGCCUAUCAUUGUCCAAAACAAAUUAAUCUACUUGUUUGUGGUUAGGAAUUAUAAUUUCCUUUGUCCAUAUGAUUGGCUGAGGAAUUCUUUUUAAAUUUAUUUAAAACUAAAUUUCAUUUCAGUGAUUAGUUUAAUCAAGAUAUUGUACUUACUGACAGUAGUUGUAUCUUCUGAUAAUUGGAAGUUUUGAAUGAGUAGCAAUUUUAUUUUGAAAUAUUUUUCAAAAGCGUUAAACAAAUUUCCUGGUCAGUUUGAGAAUAUUUAUUUGCUCGGUUACACAUUGGGGAUUUCUGGGUUCUAGAUUUUGUUUGGUUGAUUAAAACUUGAAUGCUUUAGAGUGAGCAUUUUAAUUUUAUGCCAAGUUAACCUUUAUAUUUUGACUGUGGACUAUGAACAGUCUUUUUUUGUUUACUGUGUUGGUUUUUUUGUUGUUGUGGGGCAGGGUGUCAGAUUUUUCUCUGAAGUAACUUUAUUUAGCAUGGUUGUUUUUUUAGGUUGUUGAAUGCAUUCUAGGUUGGACCAUGAAAGACAUAGCAUCAGUUGAUAAUUCUGAUACUUACUUAGUCUUCCAUUGAGAUAGAGACGAUCACAGAUAGGUUUGAGGUUUUAAAGUGUUAAACUGCUCUUCCUUUAAAGAGAAGUUUUCCACUGAACCACCGUGGGACUAUCCAUGGGAAAGAAUAGGUUUUUUUUUUUUGGGGGGAACCUUCCCUUGUCGUGAAAAUGAGACUUAAGCAGAAACAGUAUUUGAAUGCAAAUUCUGUUUUAAUAAAGUAUUGCAAUUUAGAAUUGAGACAGCAUAAAAGUAAAAAUAAAGUCACUCCACUUAAAAAUCCCAAAUAGGGGAAAAUGGAGAUCUAGAGAUAUUAAAAUUAGAUUUUGAGUUUUCAUUUUUAGGCAGAUAUGAAAGUUAAUGUGAAUAUAUGGUAUAGUUUUUGAGGAAGGCUAGCCUAAAUCUUCUUUUGUGAAUAACUGAAAAAGUAGUGCAUGGUUCAGAAAAAGCAAACGUGUUAGAGUUCACAUUAGUGAUCUGAAAAAUUUGUGUUCACUUUUUCAUGAUCUUUUUUGGGGUUGGGGGGUGAGGAGAGAUGUAAAUUUUCUUUUUGACCUCAAUUUAUUUUUUCUCAGUUUCUUCUCCCUUUCUUACACUUCUUUUUUUUUUUUUAAGAAAUCUUGCUCAGUUUAGAAUUACAUGGUUUUUUUUUUUUUUUAUUGAGAGGAAUUUUGUUAUAUAAGUUUAUUAUAGUUGAUUGUUUUUUUUUCCCCCCCUGAUGAAGCAUUGUUGACAAUAAUCAAUAUCUGUGACAAACUGAUUUUAAGUUGAAGUAAUGAAUUUGUUCUUUAGAAGCAAAGGUUGUGCUUUUGUAUGCACGGACCUUUGCAUUAUUAGUAAUGAGAAAGAAGCUAGUUUUUGUAAUCAGUUUUCUCCAUUACCUUUUUUUCUCCUCACCCAGGAGGUGUCAGCAGCUAUAAUAAGGUAAUAAAGGAAAUGAUAAUUUGUAUCAUGGGUCAUUUAUUCAACAUUUAUUCAAUACUUUUGAAGCUUAACUUCUAGACAGUGUAUAUAAAAUGCUUGUACAUACUAUGAUGCAGAUGAUUUCUUUUUCUUAACUUUAUCCAGUUUACAUGAUAAUGUACUUGAGUUAAUAGAAAUAGGUCUCUGCUAAUCACAUUUGCUAGUGUGUUUGGUAUGAGCACCUUUUCUUAAAUGGCUUUGAGAAUAUCAAAUGAAAACAAGAUAAUUUUAUCUUUUAAUGCUUUGUACAUAUUUUAUUCCUGUUGUUAUCCCCCUACUAGUCACAAUCCUGAAGUUGAAAUGCAUCCGUUUUUCAUAAGAACAGAUGGUUUUUGGCUUCCUUCUUAAGGGAAAUAGAUUCCUGCAACAAAAGACAUGAAGUGAACCCUCCUUCCCUUUCCUGAGCAUGAUUCAGGUGCUCCUUUUUUGAGGCCAGUAUAAGGUUUUUGUUUCGUUUUUUGACUUUUUUUUUGGGUGUUAAGGAGAAUUACACCAGUAUGAUUAUAAGGGCAACUUUUAUAAUCUGACUGGAACCACAUUUUAUUUUACUUGAGAAUUUACUUUAAUAUACUUUGAUUUAUAAUGAUGCAGUUGUAAGUAAAACUUGGCCUUACUCUGUUGGAGAUGUUGGAAGUGCUAUGCUGUUGUUUUAGUUUUUGAUUACUUAAAAGUUGGAGCCCACUGAGCAGUUUUCUCUUACUUACAUGUCAGCUAUUGUGAGAUAUGUAAGGAUCUAUUUUAGGGUCAGCGGAAGGGGUCAGUGCAUGGGCCCAUGUGAAGAAGUCAUAGUUAAAAUUAUGUGCUGAUUUUUUAUUUACAUGAUUGACAGGACUUUGUCAUGUGCUCUGACCCCUCUUGUUUUGACAUUGACAGUUCAGUGUGAAUUCUACGUGCAAAAAUGUAUCUCUUAAUGAGAACUUUUAGGAAGUGCUUAUCCCUUUUUUUGAAUUGGCAUUGCAGUGUUCGGACUCAAAAUAGCUAGGUUGUUUGAUGCCCAAGUAAGAUUUUUACAGGUUUAUUUUCAUUUAAUAGAAAGCAAAAAUAGCAUUAAUCUUUUCAUAGUGAGUACAGUUUGUUUUGUUAGUGUGACUCUGUUACGAAAUUUGACUAUAAAUAUAACCCCCCGGCCUGUGUUAGGUACUACUCUCUGUAUAGUUAUCAACAUACUUAACAUGGUAAUAUCAUCUCUUUUUUUGUCAGUCUCUGGUUUGUAACGUCAUCUCUCUCGUUUGUUUGUUAGAAAUAGUUUCUUAAAAGUGGCCACCUCAUAGCCUGCAUAUGUGCGAUCUCAGGUAUUUGUUGAAUUAAUAAAUAAGUUCACAGUUUAAAUUCUUUUUUCAUUUCUAGUUUCUCUAAAAUACAGGAUUAAGCAGAUGGUUUUGGGUAAUUAGAAAAAAAGGUACACGUUUUUCUUAAAAAUGGUAUUUUUUAGAAAUUUUAAAAUAUUUUUUGAAGUACAUGCCCUCAAGGAGCUUAAUUUUAUUUUACUACCAUUGGUAUGAAUGAGAAUUAGAAAGAUGAAGUUGCUUUACUUAAGCAGUAGUUUCUAGCCAGUCUUAUACAAAGUGGAUCAGUCCAUAGGCAGAGAAGAUCUGUCAGUGUUCAUCUCAGCUUGUGCAUGUUUUGGCAUUUAUGGAAUUACGUAGGUGAACCUUCCCUUAGUCAGUUAAGUAUAAAGGCAACAUUCAGCCGAUAUGUAUGUCUUGUACUCUGUGCAAAGCACAGUGAAUAUGAAAGACUUCUUUUUCCUAAUGCUUUGAUGUGCUCAGGAUAAAUAAGGACUAUUUGAAUGGUUUUAGUUUAGAGGAAAGCUGAGUAAACUUACGUGGCCGUUACAGUAAUUUAACACAAAUAGCAGGUUUUAAGACACAGGUGUUUAUUGAAGCUAAGUUGAAAGUGUCAUUACUUAGAAGACUGAUAAAUUUCAGUUAACUGAAAUUUAAUUCUCUUAAAAGGAGUCUACUUCUCUGCUUUAUCCGUAACAGUGUUUAAAGUAAAUCUGUCAAGAGUUUAACAAAUACAUAGCUUGUCGAAGUUAAGUGAUUUAUCCAAAAUUCUUGUAAUUAGCAAGGUGAUGACUGUACUUAAUGUUCUCAACAUUUCCUCAGUUUCCUGAAGCAGAAACUCAUUUCAAAACCUAGCAAUCCUGUCAAGUCUUAAUAAAAUAAACAGAAUUGUGUUUAUGUUCAUACUGUUGUUUCAUAUGUUUGAUUCUAAC
RNAcentral lists this long non-coding RNA (5203 nucleotides) under Bos taurus (domestic cattle). Its description in RNAcentral is "long non-coding RNA NONBTAT031549". Lineage: Eukaryota; Metazoa; Chordata; Mammalia; Artiodactyla; Bovidae. The record is from RNAcentral.